CACCAAGCUGUGAGCAUGUGGUUUAAUUCGAAGCAACGCGCAGAACCUUACCAACGUUUGACAUCCCUAUCGCGGAUUGUGGAGACACUUUCCUUCAGUUCGGCUGGAUAGGUGACAGGUGCUGCAUGGCUGUCGUCAGCUCGUGUCGUGAGAUGUUGGGUUAAGUCCCGCAACGAGCGCAACCCUCGCCUUUAGUUGCCAUCAUUUAGUUGGGUACUCUAAAGGAACCGCCGGUGAUAAGCCGGAGGAAGGUGGGGAUGACGUCAAGUCCUCAUGGCCCUUACGCGUUGGGCUACACACGUGCUACAAUGGCGACUACAGUGGGCAGCCACCUCGCGAGAGGGAGCUAAUCUCCAAAAGUCGUCUCAGUUCGAAUCGUUCUCUGCAACUCGAGAGCGUGAAGGCGGAAUCGCUAGUAAUCGCGGAUCAGCAUGCCGCGGUGAAUACGUUCCCAGGCCUUGUACACACCGCCCGUCACACCAUGGGAGUUGGAUUCACUCGAAGGCGUUGAGCUAACCGCAAGGAGGCAGGCGACCACAGUGGGUUUAGCGACUGGGGUGAAGUCGCAACAAGGUAGCCCUAGGGGAACCUGC
Molecule: ribosomal RNA, 593 nt
Filed under: uncultured bacterium
Lineage: Bacteria
Description: bacterial SSU rRNA
Rfam family: Bacterial small subunit ribosomal RNA
Source: RNAcentral